GCCUCGGUGGCUCAGUGGUAGAGCGUCUGCCUUUGGCUCAGGGUAUGGUCCCGGGGUCCUGGGAUCAAGUCCCACAUGGGGCU
Non-coding RNA from Canis lupus familiaris (dog), 83 nucleotides. The record is from Rfam. NCBI's taxonomy places the organism in Eukaryota, Metazoa, Chordata, Mammalia, Carnivora, Canidae.